CAGCAGCCGCGGUAAUUCGGAGGGGGCUAGCGUUAUUCGGAAUUACUGGGCGUAAAGCGCACGUAGGCGGAUCAGAAAGUCAGAGGUGAAAUCCCAGGGCUCAACCUUGGAACUGCCUUUGAAACUCCUGGUCUUGAGGUCGAGAGAGGUGAGUGGAAUUCCGAGUGUAGAGGUGAAAUUCGUAGAUAUUCGGAGGAACACCAGUGGCGAAGGCGGCUCACUGGCUCGAUACUGACGCUGAGGUGCGAAAGCUUGGGGAGCAAACAGGAUUAGAUACCCUGGUAGUCCACGCCGUAAACGAUGAAUGCCAGUCGUCGGGUAGCAUGCUAUUCGGUGACACACCUAACGGAUUAAGCAUUCCGCCUGGGGCGUACGGCCGCAAGGUUUAAACUCAAAUGACUUGCCGG
Molecule: ribosomal RNA, 407 nt
Filed under: alpha proteobacterium enrichment culture clone LiUU-17-374
Lineage: Bacteria; Pseudomonadati; Pseudomonadota; Alphaproteobacteria
Description: bacterial SSU rRNA
Rfam family: Bacterial small subunit ribosomal RNA
Source: RNAcentral